UCCGGCUUAUCACCGGCAGUUUCUUUAGAGUGCCCAGCUUAACCUGAUGGCAACUAAAGACGAGGGUUGCGCUCGUUGCGGGACUUAACCCAACAUCUCACGACACGAGCUGACGACAGCCAUGCAGCACCUGUGUGGUAGCCAGCCAAACUGAAGGAAAUCAUCUCUGAAAUCCAUACUACCCAUGUCAAGGGCUGGUAAGGUUCUUCGCGUUGCCUCGAAUUAAACCACAUGCUCCACCGCUUGUGCGGGUCCCCGUCAAUUCCUUUGAGUUUUAAUCUUGCGACCGUACUCCCCAGGCGGAGUGCUUAAUGCGUUAGCUGCGCCACCGACUCCUAACGGAGCCGACAGCUAGCACUCAUCGUUUACAGCGUGGACUAC
Molecule: unclassified non-coding RNA, 381 nt
Filed under: uncultured Alphaproteobacteria bacterium
Lineage: Bacteria; Pseudomonadati; Pseudomonadota; Alphaproteobacteria
Description: contains 16S-23S intergenic spacer region
Source: RNAcentral